RNAcentral lists this non-coding RNA (81 nucleotides) under chicken gut metagenome. Its description in RNAcentral is "S10-Clostridia ribosomal protein leader". It matches the Rfam family "S10-Clostridia ribosomal protein leader". The record is from RNAcentral.
UGAUAGCUACGAAGCGUGAGGUUGCUGCGCAUAUCGCAGGUUUUCCGUGGAGCGAAUGUCAAGUUAAGAAACUGGCGACAA